GUCACCCCUUUCAUACUUGUGUUCACUUGUGUUAAUUUUAUUUUGUUGCAAAUGUAUUUAUUGAUACAAUAUUUAUCAAUACAUACAUAGACAAAAGGGGUGUUUCACAUUGUAUAGAACACUAUUAAUUAUUAAUCAAGAAUUCAAGACUAUAAAAGUUUUGUACAAUUUUAAUUUAAAUUAAUUAAUUAACUAAAAUUUACUCCUAAUUUUGUUAUUAUCAUUUAUCAUUAUAAAAAUUAAUAAUGAAUAGUGAAAAUUGUGAUGAAAUUUCAGUGAAAAAAAAAUUAACAAAUUCACAAAAAACAAAACAUAUUAAUUGUAAAUUAAAAAAUGAUACAUUAAAUCUUGAACAGACAUUAAAAACAUUAGAUGGACCAAUUGGGCAAGAUCAAACAUGGGCAGUAUGUCAUCAAACAGCAAAAUGUUUAUCAAAACUUCCAUCAAAUAAUCUUCAAGAACUUACAAAUCUCAAUCAAAUAAUAUUACACAAAGAAGGACAUGUAUCUCUUGAUCUUUUUACAGAUUCAACAACUACUUAUUCAUCUGAAAAAAAAGUUGUUUUUUCAUUGGGAUUAUUGUUAUACAAAGCACUAGAUUUUCGUUUAGAUUUAAAUCAAGAAAGAUGUUUAUCUCCUGGUUUAAAAAAUUUAAUAUAUUCAAUGACAAAUUGUGAUGAUGAACAUGAACCAGAAGAACGACUUCAAGACACUGAUGAUGAAGGUAUAGAUUUAGAAACUGAAGGAGAUGAAAAUAUUGUUCAUGAUAAUUACACACUUAAAUAUAUAAUUAAGAUUUGUAAUAAAAGAAUUCAAGCAACUGAUGAAUAUGCUGAUAUACAUUAUCGUUCUGUUAUUCAAGCAUUUGUUAAUGAAGCACUUGAGCUAACUGAAUUUUUAAAUAAAGUUGCAGCUGAACGUUUUCAAAAAAAUUUAAAAAAACUACAAAAUGAUACAACAAAUAGUAGAAUUGGAGUUUCAUCAACUGAACAUCUUGAUAUUCUCAAUAUUGAUGAUUGGGCUAGAUUUUGGGUUCAAGUUAUUGGAGAAUUACAUCAUGGAAUAAAAUUGAAAAAAGUUGAAGCAAAUUUAUUAAAACGUAGUUUAAGUAAAAACAAAGAUGACAAAUUUGAAUUAACACCAUAUGAAAUUCUUAUGAAUGACAUUAGAGAAAGAAAAUAUCAUCUUAGAAAAACUCCAAAGCAAUCACAUGGUGUUCACAAAGAUGCACAUGACAGAAUUUUAGAAUUUAUUAGGAGUCGACCACCUUUAAAAAAGGCAUCUGAGAGAAAAUUAGCUCCAAAACAAUCACAGCUGACAAUUAGAGAAUUAUUAAUGGAAAGCAUAAGAAAACAUAAGUCAAAUUCGGAUGGAAAACAAAAAGCAGUAGGUGGUGAAGCAAGAAGAAUUGUUCUUGGUGAAGUACCACCAGCCCAAGUUGAACAUAUACAAGAACCAGCUCAAGAUGUUGCAGCUCAAUGGCAUCAGCAAGAAGGUCAAGAGUCUCAUCCUAUUCCUCAACCACGACCACGUACUAAAUCAUCAUUGACAACGAACAAAGAUUUUAAAAUCUAUAAUAAUACUAGUUAUCAUGAAGAUUCAGAGGCUGAGAUAAAUAAUCAAAAAAAAAAAAUAAUUCCUGUAGAUUUUCGAUUAAAAUUUGGUGGUGAUGAUGAUAUAGAUGACGAUGAUCUUGAUGAUGAAUAUACAGUUACAAGAUUUGAAGAUGAAGAUGAGCCUCAAAUGAGUACAAAAAAAUCAACUAAAUUACAUUGUUUACAUGAUGAAAAUGAGCAUAAUAUUUGUGUUGAUGAUGAUUAUGAUGAUGAUGAUAAAAGUUCAGCAAAUCCAUGGAAAAAAACUGGUGGUUUACGUUUAACAAGAAAUGAAUAUCAUAGAUUUUGUGAUGCACAACUUGAAUCAUAUGAUUUAGCAACUCAAUGUCCAUCAAGACGUGCAGCAAUUCGUAAACAUUCAAAUUCAGGUAAUAUAGCAUCAUUUAUACCAUUUAAAGAGACACCACCGAUACCAAGAACAAGAUUACAAAAUCGUCAACGUACAGUUAUUGGCUCAGAGCAUAGUAUGAAAAUUAAUUUUUCUUCUUCAAAUAUAAAAAAUAAAAUAAUAACAAAAGAUAAUCAAAUUAAUUGUCAAACAACAACAACAACAGCAACAACAACAUCAAAUGAUAAUUUAAAUGAUAAAAAAGAAACAACAAAUCAAAGACCAUCACUUGGUGAUAUGUUUUUAGAUGAAAGAUUAUCAUUGACACUUGAAGAAAUUGUACAUAUACGUAGUGUUUUAACAAAAGCUGAAUUAGAAUCAUUACCAGUUGAAGGUAGAGUAAAAGAAGAUGUUGAAAAACGUCGUGUAUGUUUUUUAUGUUUAAAAACACGUUUUGGAUUUUGGGGACCAUGGGGUCAACGUUGUAGAUUAUGUGAAAGAACUGUUUGUGUUAAAUGUUAUUCAAAAAUGCGAAUUCCAACUGAACAAUUUGCUCAUGUACCUGUUGUAUUAUUAUCACCAGCAUUAUUAUCACCAUCAGAAAAUGAUACAAAUGUUAAAAAUACAUGGUCAAGAAAUGGUGUUGGUGGUGGUAGUGUUGGUUCAGCACCAGCAUCACCAGCAUACAGAAGACGUGAACAUGGUUUAAAUAAUUCAACUCCUUCAUCAUCACCAAAUCAUUGUACACCAUCUGGUAGUCUUACAACUGGUACAACUCCAAUUUAUCAUGAACAAAAAGAUGAUACAUAUUUUGAUAAAAAUAAAAUAUAUUCUAAAAUUAAUAAAAGUCCAAAUCGUAUGACAUCAAGUGUUAUUGGUAAUCUUAGUUCUGGUUGUAAUGAACAACGUGUUUCAUCUGAACAUAUACGUGGUGUAUCAAUGGUUGUUUGUUAUGAUUGUCGUAUUAUGGUUAAACAAAUUAUUAAAUCAUCACGUAGUACACGUCAAAUAAUACGAAAUAAUGUUAUUUCAAGACUUACAUUAAAUUUAUCACCAGCAUAUGUUUAAAUGUUCAAUUAAAAAUAACAAAUUAUUAGUUGAAAAAUUUAUUUUAUUUUUUUUCUGAACUGUAUAGAGUUUUUUUCAAUAGAGGGCCCAAUUUUAACAUUUUUAUUUUUCAUUUAAAAAAUCUAUUAAAGCGAGUAAUGAAUAUAUAUUAGCAGUCUUCGUUGAAAAUCUAUUUUACUAUCAUAUUAACUCAAUCAAGAGUAGAAAUGGCCUAAUCAUAAAUUAAUAAAAUUAUUGUACAUAAUAUUUACUGUAAAAUUGACAAAAAAAAAGAAUAUAUUGGUUUGAAAAGUUAUCAAGAAAUAAUAUUGUCGUAAAUGACAAAUAACCGCUGUUAAAUAAACGCAGUAGAGUACAAGCACAAUAAAAUCAAUUAAUCAUUAUUAUUUAUAUAUUUUUUAUUUGAAAAUCUAAAUAAAAAAUAUUAAAUAAAACUUGUAAAUUCAAAAAUACUAAAUGAGAUAGAAAAAGAGACACUUCCUUGACUUUUCGAGUGAUAUCUAGUUUAAAAAAAAAAAAAAAACAUUACUCGAAUAGUAGCACUAUUUAAUUUUACACAUGUAUAUUUUAAACAUGAGCAUUUACUCAAACUGCUAUCACAAAAUUAUAUAACUAAUAAUUUUCAUAGAUUCAUAGAUUAAAUGUUAACUGUUGAAGAUGAUUAUAUUAUUAUUAUAAAAUUAAAUGAAUGGUUGAAAAAAUGGGCUGGAUCCUAUUGUUAUGAAAUACUUAUUGUUGACUGAAAAAAAAAAUGACAAAAAAAAGAAAAAAAAAUAAUUAUAUAGGUAUAUAAAUGAAGCAUCUACAUAGAUCUCAAAUAAAUACUAUUCUAGUUUAUGAAAAUUUAAGAUAUUAAUGAUGAUGUAAUGAAUGACCUUUAGUAUGUGUCAUAAAAAAAAAAAGAAAAUUCCAUUAAUUAAUAAGUUAUCAUGUAUUUGUCUGCAUAAUUUUAAGAAAUUAUUGUUUCAAUUGGUAGCUGUUUAGGCUAAUUAUUUUCUAGUUGAAUGGAAGUAUUUGCCAGUGAUUGGAGAUGAUGAUGGAAUCGAAGCUGCUUGUCGAGUUUACAACGAGUCAUUAGAUACUGAUGAAAAACUUGCUGGUUUAAAUUGUUUUGGAUAGCUUGAAUUAAUUAAAAAUUGCUGAAGAACAUCUACUUUAUACGAAUUUCGUGUUAGAGGUACUUUAUCUAGUAUGGCAGAAUUUGCAGAUGAUUUUAAAUG
Molecule: unclassified non-coding RNA, 4231 nt
Filed under: Aphidius gifuensis
Lineage: Eukaryota; Metazoa; Arthropoda; Insecta; Hymenoptera; Braconidae
Description: protein spire, transcript variant X2
Source: RNAcentral